This 21-nucleotide small nuclear RNA is filed under the name Arabidopsis thaliana (thale cress). Its description in RNAcentral is "snRNA_10697". The record is from RNAcentral. Lineage: Eukaryota; Viridiplantae; Streptophyta; Magnoliopsida; Brassicales; Brassicaceae.
UUACGUUUUUGGCGAGAUAAU